RNAcentral lists this ribosomal RNA (451 nucleotides) under uncultured Leptolinea sp. RNAcentral's name for it is "bacterial SSU rRNA". It matches the Rfam family "Bacterial small subunit ribosomal RNA", at positions 917 to 1382 of the family's 1533-position model. The record is from RNAcentral. Lineage: Bacteria; Bacillati; Chloroflexota; Anaerolineae; Anaerolineales; Anaerolineaceae.
GGGCCCGCACAAGCAGCGGAGCGUGUGGUUUAAUUCGAUGUUACACGAAGAACCUUACCAGGGUUUGACAUGCAAGUGGUAGGAAGCCGAAAGGUGACCGACCCUUCGGGAGCUUGCACAGGUGCUGCAUGGCUGUCGUCAGCUCGUGUCGUGAGAUGUUCGGUUAAGUCCGCUAACGAGCGCAACCCUCGCUGUGUGUUAUAUGUGUCACACGGGACUGCCGGUCUUAAGCCGGAGGAAGGUGGGGAUGAUGUCAAGUCAGCAUGGCCUUUAUAUCCUGGGCUACACACACGCUACAAUGGCCAGCACAGUAGGUUGCUAAGCCGCGAGGUGGAGCCAAUCCAUAAAGCUGGUCUCAGUUCAGAUUGCAGGCUGCAACCCGCCUGCAUGAAGAUGGAGUUGCUAGUAACCGCAGGUCAGCUAUACUGCGGUGAAUACGUUCCCGGGGCUU